UCCCAUCAGCAGGCUGCUGCAAUGGAUGUUGGGAAUCGGGGGGAGGCUUCAGUUUUUCAGGAACUGAGCCCUUGACCUCAUUGUUUCCUUGUUCUCCCAGGUAAUCUCUGGUUCUUUGCAUUUAAAAUAUAUGCUUGAGCGGUGCCAGUGCUUUGAUCCAGGAAUUCCGCUAUCGCACCUGAAUUUUGCCUCAAUAGAAAUGGAGCAAACACUUCACUCGGAUUACCAGUCUCCGCGAUACUAUCAUUAUGGCGACGGGGAAACGCAUAGAAACACAGAUAACAAGAGAAAUUCACACUAAAAGGCUGGUGGAUUUUCCUUAGAACAUUCCAAAGAAUUUGCCCACAGAUAUGUAAACGUUGAGAAGCUGAAAUUAAAAAUGGAAGAAUCGGAAACCGAGAAGCUGAAAUUGACAGAAUUGCCCUUCCCUUAUAGUAAAGUGGAAACUCUUCCCUACAGCUGGGAAUGAAACCUGCUACGGGGCCUUCAGAACACUUGACUGCUACGCUUUCGUACAAUAGCAACCUAUUACUAGGACCCCUUUGCCAAUUAAAGGACUCAAUCACCCCCUC
Long non-coding RNA from Podarcis raffonei (Aeolian wall lizard), 572 nucleotides. RefSeq lists it as uncharacterized. The transcript is spliced from 2 exons. NCBI's taxonomy places the organism in Eukaryota, Metazoa, Chordata, Lepidosauria, Squamata, Lacertidae. The record is from RefSeq and is a predicted model, not a curated record.